GGAUUUGAACCCGCGUGUCCUUUCGGACAGUAGGUCGCUCGCUUUUAGCUGGAAAUGGUCUCGAGCCUA
RNAcentral lists this small RNA (69 nucleotides) under Acidianus hospitalis W1. The record is from RNAcentral. Lineage: Archaea; Thermoproteati; Thermoproteota; Thermoprotei; Sulfolobales; Sulfolobaceae.